AGAACGAACGCUGGCGGCAGGCCUCAAACAUGCAAGUCUAGGGGGGGUAGCAAUACCCACCGGCGGACGGGUGCGUAACACGUGGGAAUAUACCUUUCGGUACGGAACAACUGCGGGAAACUGCAGCUAAUACCGUAUACGUCCUAACGGAGAAAGAUUUAUCGCCGAAGGAUUAGCCCGCGUCCGAUUAGCUAGUUGGUGAGGUAAUGGCUCACCAAGGCUCCGAUCGGUAGCUGUUCUGAGAGGAAGAUCAGCCACACUGGGACUGAGACACGGCCCAGACUCCUACGGGAGGCAGCAGUUGGGAAUCUUGGACAAUGGGGGAAACCCUGAUCCAGCCAUGCCGCGUGAGUGAUGAAGGCCUUGGGUUGUAAAACUCUUUCGACGGGGACGAUAAUGACGGUACCCGUAGAAGAGCUCCGGCUAACUUCGUGCCAGCAGCCGC
RNAcentral lists this ribosomal RNA (445 nucleotides) under uncultured bacterium. RNAcentral's name for it is "SSU rRNA". It matches the Rfam family "Bacterial small subunit ribosomal RNA", at positions 26 to 518 of the family's 1533-position model. The record is from RNAcentral.